ACUUAUUUAGUAUAAUUAAUAUAUUUAACUUCCAAUUAAAAGCUCUAAGUCAAUUAGAUUAAGUA
This 65-nucleotide transfer RNA is filed under the name Timema californicum (California timema). RNAcentral describes it as "tRNA-Gly". Lineage: Eukaryota; Metazoa; Arthropoda; Insecta; Phasmatodea; Timematidae. The record is from RNAcentral.